AUAUCAGUCAUGCAUAGCAUAUCAAUAAGCGGAGGAAAAGAAACUAACAAGGAUUCUCCUUAGUAACGGCGAGUGAAGCGGGAAGAGCUCAAAUUUGAAAUCUUCAAGGUUCUACCUUGACGAAUUGUAGUUUAUAGAAGUGUUUUCUGUUAGUAGGAGUGGCAAAAGUUCUUUGGAAUAGGACAUCAUAGAGGGUGAGAAUCCCGUAUUUGGUCAUUCCUUCCUAGCUUUGUGAUACACUUUCAACGAGUCGGAUUGUUUGGGAAUGCAGUCCAAAAUGGGUGGUAAAUUUCAUCUAAAGCUAAAUAUUGGCGAGAGACCGAUAGCGAACAAGUACCGUGAGGGAAAGAUGAAAAGAACUUUGAAAAGAGAGUUAAACAGUACGUGAAACUUGUCAAAAGGGAAGCGUUUGACACCAGUGUUGUUUAGUUGAAAAUCAAUUCAAUAAUUUUUGAUUUUGAGUAGUAUUGACUUCAUCAGCUUAGCUGCUUUCUUUUCGGAAAUUAUUGAAUGCACUUUUCAGUUAACAAGUCAACAUCAAUUUCUUUUGUUGUAAAAGGGUAGAGGAAGGUGGCUUACGCUUCGGCGUAAGUGUUUAUAGCCUUUUACCUCUGCAAUCGGAGAGAUUGAGGACAGCAGCGUAGACUCUUCGGGGUUAGAUACGCUUGUGCUAAGCUAUAGCCUUGUAUAGACAACUUGUUGACUAUACUCAGUCAUGUAGCUUACUCGCUUGUGCUAUUUUACCUACGCUUAGGAUGUUGAUGUGAUACUGCGAGC
RNAcentral lists this ribosomal RNA (777 nucleotides) under uncultured Neocallimastigales. RNAcentral's name for it is "partial large subunit ribosomal RNA". It matches the Rfam family "Eukaryotic large subunit ribosomal RNA", at positions 22 to 645 of the family's 3401-position model. Lineage: Eukaryota; Fungi; Neocallimastigomycota; Neocallimastigomycetes; Neocallimastigales. The record is from RNAcentral.